This 235-nucleotide ribosomal RNA is filed under the name uncultured bacterium. RNAcentral's name for it is "partial 16S ribosomal RNA". It matches the Rfam family "Bacterial small subunit ribosomal RNA", at positions 96 to 334 of the family's 1533-position model. The record is from RNAcentral.
CGGCGGACGGGUGAGUAAUGUCUGGGAAACUGCCCGAUGGCGGGGGAUAACUACUGGAAACGGUAGCUAAUACCGCAUAAUGUCUGCGGACCAAAGCGGGGGACCUCCGGGCCUCGCGCCAUCAGAUGAACCCAUAUGGGAUUAGCUUGUAGGUAAGGUAACGGCUUACCUAGGCGACGAUCCCUAGCUGGUCUGAGAGGAUGAUCAGCCACACUGGGACUGAGACACGGCCCAG